Molecule: long non-coding RNA, 780 nt
Filed under: Helianthus annuus (common sunflower)
Lineage: Eukaryota; Viridiplantae; Streptophyta; Magnoliopsida; Asterales; Asteraceae
Source: RNAcentral
AGCCUCUCUCUCGGCCAUCCUUUCCCUCUUUAAAAUUCUAUUUUUAGUUUUAAAUAAUAAUAAAGCCCUGCCUCGUUUUAAGUGUUUAACCCUUGAUCACUGAUACCCUGUCCGACUGACGUAGGGCCCUGUAACGUAUGUCAAGGCUCUGCCUGAAUUCGUUGGGGUUCUGUCUCGUGACUGCACUAUAUAUGUUAUUAAAUAACCCAGGAGUUAUACCCAAAAUAUAACAACCCUCCUAAAACACCCCUGACACCCCCACACUUUCUAAAAUACACCCCGUAUGUGAAAACCGAGCCUGAAAUACAAUAUAUAAAUUAAAAACGAGAAAUAGUAAGUUGAGGCGGGCCGCGUAGACCCACCCCAACCAUGCACGCGGGCCGUAUGAAGGUGUAACCGGAUUCCUUUGAUUUCUUAAGUCCAGGCGGGCCGCAUAAGACCACACCGUUAGUUUACGCGGGCCGCGCGUGUUUCAAAGGGUGGCGCAACUCUGAGCUGACACGUGUCGAUAUCGUGUCGAGUCUAUCUGGUGACCAGGCUAAGCUACGCAGUUGACCGGAGUCAACGCGGGCCGCGUGAGCCCAGUCCAUAUUGUACGCGGGCCGCGUGGGAACCAGAAUCAGCACCUAUAUAAGAGGGCCAUCGGAUUUCAUUCGAAUUCGCUCACAACGAUUUCUUUCUCUCAAAUUCUGAUAGUAGGCUUAUAAUACACGGGUAUUAUACCCCUAAUUAGCGAAGCUCUGCCUCGUUACUAUAACCAGGGAAUCACAAAGGAAAGCC